This 82-nucleotide transfer RNA is filed under the name Marininema halotolerans. Its description in RNAcentral is "tRNA_Tyr_GTA". It matches the Rfam family "tRNA". From Rfam's summary of the family: Transfer RNA (tRNA) molecules are approximately 80 nucleotides in length. Lineage: Bacteria; Bacillati; Bacillota; Bacilli; Caryophanales; Thermoactinomycetaceae. The record is from RNAcentral.
GGAGGGAUAGCGAAGUGGCCAAACGCAGCAGACUGUAAAUCUGCCGGCUCCGCCUUCGUAGGUUCGAAUCCUACUCCCUCCA